GAUGAAGAACGCAGCGAAAUGCGAUACGUAAUGUGAAUUGCAGAAUUCAGUGAAUUAUCGAGUCUUUGAACGCACAUUGCGCCCCCUGGUAUUCCGGGGGGCAUGCCUGUCCGAGCGUCAUUGCUGCCCUCAAGCACGGCUUGUGUGUUGGGCCUCCGUCCUCCUCCCGGGGGACGGGCCCGAAAGGCAGCGGCGGCACCGCGUCCGGUCCUCGAGCGUAUGGGGCUUCGUCACCCGCUCUUGUAGGCCCGGCCGGCGCUUGCCGACACAUCAAUCUUUUUUCCAGGUUGACCUCGGAUCAGGUAGGGAUACCCGCUGAACUUAAGCAUAUCAAUAAGCGGAGGA
RNAcentral lists this unclassified non-coding RNA (345 nucleotides) under soil metagenome. RNAcentral's name for it is "partial contains 5.8S ribosomal RNA, internal transcribed spacer 2, and large subunit ribosomal RNA". The stretch from base 1 to 120 matches the Rfam family "5.8S ribosomal RNA", at positions 35 to 154 of the family's 154-position model. The record is from RNAcentral.